This 495-nucleotide ribosomal RNA is filed under the name Bacilli bacterium 09A. Its description in RNAcentral is "bacterial SSU rRNA". It matches the Rfam family "Bacterial small subunit ribosomal RNA", at positions 902 to 1396 of the family's 1533-position model. Lineage: Bacteria; Bacillati; Bacillota; Bacilli. The record is from RNAcentral.
CUUAAGAAUUGACGGGGGGGCGCACAAGCAGUGGAGCAUGUGGUUUAAUUCGAAGCAACGCGAAGAACCUUACCAGGUCUUGACAUCCUUUGACCACUCUAGAGAUAGAGCUUUCCCCUUCGGGGGACAAAGUGACAGGUGGUGCAUGGUUGUCGUCAGCUCGUGUCGUGAGAUGUUGGGUUAAGUCCCGCAACGAGCGCAACCCUUGACCUUAGUUGCCAGCAUUCAGUUGGGCACUCUAAGGUGACUGCCGGUGACAAACCGGAGGAAGGUGGGGAUGACGUCAAAUCAUCAUGCCCCUUAUGACCUGGGCUACACACGUGCUACAAUGGAUGAUACAAAGGGUUGCGAAGCCGCGAGGCCAAGCCAAUCCCAAAAAGUCAUUCUCAGUUCGGAUUGUAGGCUGCAACUCGCCUACAUGAAGCCGGAAUUGCUAGUAAUCGCGGAUCAGCAUGCCGCGGUGAAUACGUUCCCGCCCCUUGUACACACCGCCCG